AAGUCGUAACAAGGUUUCCGUAGGUGAACCUGCGGAAGGAUCAUUACCGAGUGUAGGGUUCCUAGCGAGCCCAACCUCCCACCCGUGUUUACUGUACCUUAGUUGCUUCGGCGGGCCCGCCAUUCAUGGCCGCCGGGGGCUCUCAGCCCCGGGCCCGCGCCCGCCGGAGACACCACGAACUCUGUCUGAUCUAGUGAAGUCUGAGUUGAUUGUAUCGCAAUCAGUUAAAACUUUCAACAAUGGAUCUCUUGGUUCCGGCAUCGAUGAAGAACGCAGCGAAAUGCGAUAACUAGUGUGAAUUGCAGAAUUCCGUGAAUCAUCGAGUCUUUGAACGCACAUUGCGCCCCCUGGUAUUCCGGGGGGCAUGCCUGUCCGAGCGUCAUUGCUGCCCAUCAAGCACGGCUUGUGUGUUGGGUCGUCGUCCCCUCUCCGGGGGGGACGGGCCCCAAAGGCAGCGGCGGCACCGCGUCCGAUCCUCGAGCGUAUGGGGCUUUGUCACCCGCUCUGUAGGCCCGGCCGGCGCUUGCCGAACGCAAAUCAAUCUUUUUCCAGGUUGACCUCGGAUCAGGUAGGGAUACCCGCUGAACUUAAGCAUAUC
Molecule: ribosomal RNA, 598 nt
Filed under: Aspergillus flavus
Lineage: Eukaryota; Fungi; Ascomycota; Eurotiomycetes; Eurotiales; Aspergillaceae
Description: eukaryotic LSU rRNA
Rfam family: 5.8S ribosomal RNA (bases 229-382)
Source: RNAcentral